AUUGCUUCUCUGCCUUUUGGCUAAGAUCAAGUGUAGAAUUCAGGGUUGUCAAUUUUAUUAUCUAUCUACCUUUUAAAGAUCAUUAUUCUCUUCUGGCUUUUAAUGUUCCAGAUUAAAAAUCAGUGAUA
This 128-nucleotide small nuclear RNA is filed under the name Nomascus leucogenys (northern white-cheeked gibbon). Its description in RNAcentral is "U2 spliceosomal RNA". It matches the Rfam family "U2 spliceosomal RNA". Rfam says of the family: U2 is a small nuclear RNA (snRNA) component of the spliceosome (involved in pre-mRNA splicing). Complementary binding between U2 snRNA (in an area lying towards the 5' end but 3' to hairpin I) and the branchpoint sequence (BPS) of the intron results the bulging out of an unpaired adenosine, on the BPS, which initiates a nucleophilic attack at the intronic 5' splice site, thus starting the first of two transesterification reactions that mediate splicing. Lineage: Eukaryota; Metazoa; Chordata; Mammalia; Primates; Hylobatidae. The record is from Rfam by way of RNAcentral.